AAAGGAUUUGGAUUUAUUACUUAUUCUCAAUCAUCUAUGGUUGAUCAAGCCAUGUCAAACAGACCUCAUAAAAUUGAUGGUCGUGAAGUUGAAACUAAACGAGCUGUACCACGUGAUGAUAUUGAUAAACCAGAUAUUGCAGCUACUGUGAAAAAAAUGUUCGUUUCUGGUAUAAAAGAACAAUCAGAAAAUGAUCUACUUGAAUAUUUUGGAAAAUUUGGCAAUAUCACUAAUGUAACAAUAGUAACUGAUAAAGAUUCUGGUCAACGAAAAGGAUUUGGAUUUAUUGAGUAUGAUGAUACCGAUUCCGUUGACAAAGCUGUUUUGAUCAAAAGUCAUCAAGUUGCUGGAGGAAAAUUGGAUGUGAAAAAAGCUAUUAGUCGUAGUGACGGCGGCGGUGGUGGCCGAGGUGGACGUGGUGGUCGUGGCGGUGGAGGUGGAGGGGGUGGUAAUAGAAGUAGCUGGGGAGGAAAUCCUCGAAAUGAACAAUGGGGAGGACAUCAUAACAGAUCAAAUGGUGGAGGUGGAGGAUAUGGAAAUUCUGGAAUGGGAGGAGGAUAUGGCUCUGGCGGUGGCGGAGGUGGGUAUGGUGGUAGUGCAGGUGGAUACAAUUCCAAUUCUGGUGGAGCCUGGCAAGGUGGCGGUGGUGCUCCUCAAAGUUGGGGUAACAACAAUCCUGCAUGGGGCAACCAAGGAGGUGGUGGUGAUAGUUGGGGAGGUUCGCAACAACCCAGUAACAACUGGGGUCCAAAUCAAAGUUAUGGCGGCGGUGGUGGCCCGAUGAGGUCUAAUUAUACCUCUAAUAAUCGUUCUACACCUUAUGGAAACCCAGGUAGAGCUGGUAAUGUAAAUGCAGGUAAUGCUGGCUAUGGUCAAAAUCCUGGUCGACGGUACUAACACAUCACUUUCAACUAAAGGAAAGAAAGAUGACCAAUGAUGAAAUUUUACCAUGAAUGGUUUUUUAAUAUUUUUGAUGUUGAGUGCUGUACUGAAAGGAAAUUUACUCUAGUGCAAGAUUUAUAAAAAAUAAAAUUGAUACUGAAUAGUUACGUCUGGACUCGUAUUGAAGUCUAAGUCUGAUACCUGUUGAUGGGUGAUUUGAAAAUUUUCAU
RNAcentral lists this unclassified non-coding RNA (1112 nucleotides) under Diuraphis noxia (Russian wheat aphid). RNAcentral's name for it is "heterogeneous nuclear ribonucleoprotein 87F-like, transcript variant X2". The record is from RNAcentral. Lineage: Eukaryota; Metazoa; Arthropoda; Insecta; Hemiptera; Aphididae.